AUCACUUCCAGGCCCUUCCAUCCUCUCUCUCUCUCUCUCUCUCUCUCUCUCUAAACUCCCUUCACUUCACUUUACUUCCAUAUCAACCAACCGUGAGAGAUUGAUCAUCAACCUCUAGCUCCCUAAAUCAAAAACCCCCAUUUUUUUUUUUUCCUCUCUCUCUCUCUCUCUCUCAAGCAAUCCUCUUCUCCAACAACCCACAAAAAUCAAAAACCCAUCUCCCAAAACAAUUGAAAAACCCUCCAAAACCCCCCAUUUUCCCUCACUUUCCUCCACACCAAUCUAAUCUAACCAACCAACCCCCAAAAUUUUCUCGCUCAUUUUCCCCCCCCCCAAAAAAAAAAAAAAAAAAAAAAUCAAUAAUGUUGUCCCUCUCCUCAUCCCCAUUGAUCCCAACUCUUCUCCUCUUACUCUCUCUCCCUCUCCUCUUCCUCCUCAUCCCCCACCUCCUCCCUCCUCGCCCCCACCCCAUUUCUCUCCCGGACGACCUCGACGACCUCUCCCUUUUCCGCAAAGCCGCCGCCGUCUCUCCGCCGCACCGAUCUCUCCCCUCCUCCAAGUCCCGCCUCGGCUCCACAAACCCUAAACCCAAAAUCGCCUUCCUCUUCCUCACCAAUUCCGAUCUUCACUUCGCUCCUCUCUGGGAAAUCUUCUUCGCCAAUGGAUCUACAAACCAAUUCAACAUCUAUGUCCACGCCGACCCAACUGUCAAGAUCAACCCUCCCGGUGGAGUUUUCUCCGCCGAUCGAUUUGUCCCGGCCAAGAAGACUGAACGCUCCUCCGCAACCCUAAUCUCCGCCGCUCGCCGCCUCAUCGCUAACGCCCUCAUCGACGACCCAUCCAACGCCUUCUUCGCUCUCCUCUCCCAACAUUGCAUACCUCUUCAUUCUUUCAAUUUCGUUUACAACACUCUUUUUCACCGCUCCAUCGCCGAGUUGGCUCAGUUGGGUACUCUGCAGUAUCGUAGUUUCAUCGAGAUUUUGACGACUAAGAAGAUUCUUUGGGCAAGGUACAAUGCUAGGGGCAAGAAUGUGAUGCUUCCUGAGGUCCCCUUUGAUCAAUUCCGAGUUGGGUCUCAGUUCUUUGUUCUUACUCGAAGGCACGCCGUCUUGGUGAUUCGAGAUCGAAGAUUGUGGAGGAAAUUUAGGUUGCCUUGUGUUUGGAUUCAGUCUUGUUACCCUGAAGAACAUUACUUUCCGACUUUGCUUUCAAUGGAGGACCCAGAAGGGUGUACUGGUUAUACAUUGACUAGGGUUAAUUGGACUGAUAGUAUCAAUGGCCACCCACAUACGUAUCGGUCUCAGGAGUUGUCGACCGAGCUUAUUUACAAUCUCCGGAAAUCCAAUUUCACGCAUUCUUACCUGUUUGCUAGGAAAUUCUCGCCGGAUUGUUUGAGCCCUUUGUUGAAUAUAUCCAAUUCUGUCAUUUUCCGGGACUAGGAUCUGCUUCUGCCAAAACAGCUCACCCCUCUCAUUUAUCUUCGACGUCUAUUAAGGACAAAGGUCAAGCCAAUUACACAACAAAAAGAUGAUGAAAUUUUUUGAAGCACUUGAAAUGGAAGUAUGUUGGAGAAUUCAAAUACCACGCGGGAAUUAGGUUUGAAGAGGAUGUAAAAUGCCCACAACCUAAGAACCCAAAGUUUCCAACUCAAGCAUGAGGUGAGAUUUCAAAGCUAGUAGUCAGAUGCAUUUUUAAGGUGUAUUUGGUGGUGUACCAAUGGUAGUGGUGGUAGUAGUAGUGGACGUGGGGUAAUGGUCCUUUGUUGUGUAUUUUGUACAUAUUGAUGGAUUGAAAAAAAAAAUGUUCACAUAAUGUCACUGAACAUUAUUGCCAUUUUCCCCUGGAGAAUGUUAAAAGUAGAGCAGUGGUAAGGCUCAUUGCUUUUUCACAUGAAGGCGGAUCUUGUUCUUCUUUUGAAAAUUUCAAGGUUUGAAUGCUUCAUCUUCAACCAACCUUCAUGAGAACUCUCUUGCUUUUUGUGGUUGUUUCUCUGGUAGUCAGUUCCUUUUGGAGUGCUCUCUUUUGUACCUUGUGGUUACCUUUUCACUAUGUUUUAUGUUUGUGACAUGUAUGUGUGUAUAUAUAUAUAACUAUUCUUAGUGCAUUUA
This is an RNA transcript of Camellia sinensis, 2108 nucleotides long. It is a transcript of the gene named glycosyltransferase BC10, with no coding region annotated. The record is from RefSeq and is a predicted model, not a curated record. Lineage: Eukaryota; Viridiplantae; Streptophyta; Magnoliopsida; Ericales; Theaceae.